Molecule: ribosomal RNA, 254 nt
Filed under: uncultured prokaryote
Description: partial 16S ribosomal RNA
Rfam family: Bacterial small subunit ribosomal RNA
Source: RNAcentral
UACGGAGGAUGCGAGCGUUAUCCGGAUUUAUUGGGUUUAAAGGGUGCGUAGGCGGCCGAGUAAGUCAGCGGUGAAAUUUUGCAGCUUAACUGUAACAGUGCCGUUGAUACUGCAUGGCUAGGAUUUGGUUGCUGUGGGUGGAAUGUGUGGUGUAGCGGUGAAAUGCUUAGAUAUCACACAGAAUAUCGAUUGCGAAGGCAGCUCACAAAGCCAAGAUUGACGCUGAGGCACGAAAGCGUGGGGAGCGAACGGGA